Molecule: RNase P RNA, 207 nt
Filed under: Mesorhizobium sp.
Lineage: Bacteria; Pseudomonadati; Pseudomonadota; Alphaproteobacteria; Hyphomicrobiales; Phyllobacteriaceae
Description: partial RNase P RNA component class A
Rfam family: Bacterial RNase P class A
About the family: Ribonuclease P (RNase P) is a ubiquitous endoribonuclease, found in archaea, bacteria and eukarya as well as chloroplasts and mitochondria.
Source: RNAcentral
CGAUCCGUCGUGGUAAGGGUGAAAGGGUGGGGUAAGAGCCCACCGCGCGACUGGCAACAGGAGCGGCACGGUAAACCCCACCGGGAGCAAGACCGAAUAGGGGCGGUGCGAGGGGAAACCCUCGAGGGCUGUUUCCGGCUCACCGCCCGGGUAGGUUGCGUGAGGCGCAUGGCAACAUGCGCCCAAGAUGAAUGGCCGCCACGUUCU